RNAcentral lists this ribosomal RNA (429 nucleotides) under Bacillota bacterium. RNAcentral describes it as "Firmicutes bacterium partial 16S ribosomal RNA". It matches the Rfam family "Bacterial small subunit ribosomal RNA", at positions 355 to 776 of the family's 1533-position model. Lineage: Bacteria; Bacillati; Bacillota. The record is from RNAcentral.
UGGGGAAUUUUGGACAAUGGGGGCAACCCUGAUCCAGCAAUGCCGCGUGUGUGAAGAAGGCCUUCGGGUUGUAAAGCACUUUUGUCCGGGAAGAAAUCGCACCUGAUAAUACCGGGUGUGGAUGACGGUACCGGAAGAAUAAGGACCGGCUAACUACGUGCCAGCAGCCGCGGUAAUACGUAGGGUCCAAGCGUUAAUCGGAAUUACUGGGCGUAAAGCGUGCGCAGGCGGUUGUGCAAGACCGAUGUGAAAUCCCCGGGCUUAACCUGGGAAUUGCAUUGGUGACUGCACGGCUAGAGUGUGUCAGAGGGGGGUAGAAUUCCACGUGUAGCAGUGAAAUGCGUAGAGAUGUGGAGGAAUACCGAUGGUGAAGGCAGCCCCCUGGGAUAACACUGACGCUCAUGCACGAAAGCGUGGGGAGCAAACAGG